Molecule: ribosomal RNA, 520 nt
Filed under: uncultured Glomus
Lineage: Eukaryota; Fungi; Glomeromycota; Glomeromycetes; Glomerales; Glomeraceae
Description: SSU rRNA
Rfam family: Eukaryotic small subunit ribosomal RNA
Source: RNAcentral
AGCAGCCGCGGUAAUUCCAGCUCCAAUAGCGUAUAUUAAAGUUGUUGCAGUUAAAAAGCUCGUAGUUGAAUUUCGGGAUCAAAGGAUCGGUCAUGCCUUGGUAUGUACUGGUUUUAUUGGUUCUCACCUUCUAAAGAACCAUAAUGUCAUUCAUUUGAUGUUAUGGGGAAUUAGGACUGUUACCUUGAAAAAUUAGAGUGUUUAAAGCAGGCUUACGCUUGAAUACAUUAGCAUGGAAUAAUGAAAUAGGACAUCAGAUUCUAUUUUGUUGGUUUCUAGGAUCGAUGUAAUGAUUAAUAGGGAUAGGUUGGGGGCAUUAGUAUUCAAUUGUUAGAGGUGAAAUUCUUGGAUUUAUUGAAGACUAACUACUGACGAAAGCAUUUGCCAAGGAUGUUUCAUUAAUCAAGAACGAAAGUUAGGGGAUCGAAGACGAUCAGAUACCGUCGUAGUCUUAACCAUAAACUAUGCCGACUAGGGAUCGGAUGAUAGUUUAAUUUUAUAAUGACUCUAUUCGGCUAAC